GAUGAACGCUGGCGGCGUGCCUAAUACAUGCAAGUCGAGCGAACAGACGAGGAGCUUGCUCCUCUGACGUUAGCGGCGGACGGGUGAGUAACACGUGUAUAACCUACCUAUAAGACUGGGAUAACUUCGGGAAACCGGAUCUUAUACCGGAUAAUAUAUUGAACCGCAUGGUUCCAUAGUGAAAGACGGUUUUUGUGUCACUUAUAGCUGGCUCCGCGCCGCUUUGGCUAGUUGGUACGGUCACGGCUUACCAAGGCUACGAUGCGUAAACGACCUGAGAGGGGGGUCGGCCACCUGAGAAGAGAGACAGAGUCCCGACGCCGAGGGGAGGACACAGACGGGAAUCUUACGCAAGGGGGGAAAGGCUGACAGAGCAACGCCGCGGAAGGGAUGAAGGUCCUCGGAUCGGAAAACCCUGUUAUUAGGGAAGAACAAAUGUGUAAGUAACUAUGCACGUCUUGACGGUACCUAAUCAAAAAGCCACGGCUAACUACGUG
Molecule: ribosomal RNA, 497 nt
Filed under: uncultured bacterium
Lineage: Bacteria
Description: partial 16S ribosomal RNA
Rfam family: Bacterial small subunit ribosomal RNA
Source: RNAcentral